This 348-nucleotide long non-coding RNA is filed under the name Erythranthe guttata (spotted monkey flower). RNAcentral describes it as "long non-coding RNA (EGUT_LNC000088)". The record is from RNAcentral. Lineage: Eukaryota; Viridiplantae; Streptophyta; Magnoliopsida; Lamiales; Phrymaceae.
GUUAUCUCGCUGUGGGUUCGUAGGACCGAGCGAGUUGGCUCCUCGUGGGAGUUUCCUCGCUGCGGGUCGUAGGAUGGAGCGAGUGGUAUCCUCGUAGGAGUUAUCUCGCUAUGGGUUCGUGGACCCGAGGGAGUUGACUCCUCGUGGGAGUUGUCUCGCAACGGGUUAUAUGACUGAGCAAGUUAUCUCCUCGUGGGAGUUGUCUUGCUGCCGGUUGUAGUACCGAGCGAGUUGGCUCCUCGUGGGAGUAAUCUCGCUGCGGGUCAUAGGAUGGAGCGAGUGGUCUCCUCGUAGGAGUUAUCUCGCUGUGGGUUCGUAGGACCGAGCGAGUUGGCUCCUCGUGGGAGU